GGGGGAUAUUGCACAAUGGGGGAAACCCUGAUGCAGCGACGCCGCGUGAGUGAAGAAGUAUUUCCGUAUGUAAAGCUCUAUCAGCAGGGAAGAAAAUGACGGUACCUGACUAAGAAGCCCCGGGCUAACUAC
This 132-nucleotide ribosomal RNA is filed under the name uncultured bacterium. RNAcentral's name for it is "partial 16S ribosomal RNA". It matches the Rfam family "Bacterial small subunit ribosomal RNA", at positions 356 to 504 of the family's 1533-position model. The record is from RNAcentral.